GCCAGGUGUGGUGGUGCACUCCUAUAAUCCCAGCAGCUUAGGGGAGGCUGAGGCAGGAGGAUGGUGAGUUUAAAGCCAGCCUCUG
RNAcentral lists this small RNA (85 nucleotides) under Marmota monax (woodchuck). Lineage: Eukaryota; Metazoa; Chordata; Mammalia; Rodentia; Sciuridae. The record is from RNAcentral.